This 345-nucleotide ribosomal RNA is filed under the name Triticum aestivum (bread wheat). RNAcentral describes it as "partial small subunit ribosomal RNA". Lineage: Eukaryota; Viridiplantae; Streptophyta; Magnoliopsida; Poales; Poaceae. The record is from RNAcentral.
AUGGCUGGAGUUACCAUCUCCAGGAAUGCAGGCCUCUCCCUGCACAGGACAUGUGUGAAGCCAAAGGAUGCGCCGGCAUCAAAGGCGGCUGAGCUCCUGGUGUGUCGUAGCCUGGGCAUAGUCAAGAACGGCGAGGACGUCACCGCGGCGGCUCUAGAUGCCUUUGCAGAACGGUUCAAGGACCAGCUGCCUCAGGAAGUGAUCAACUCCAUGCGUAAGCUUUUCAAGCUCGACGACGGGCAAGCUGCAGGUGUGGAAGACGCCCUCAUCCAGCACGGAGGUGCCGGUGUCAUGGACAUGGAAGGGCCAGACGGCGGUGCUGCAGCGCUGCUGGCAGCAAUUUGA